Long non-coding RNA from Neofelis nebulosa (Clouded leopard), 3341 nucleotides. RefSeq lists it as uncharacterized. NCBI's taxonomy places the organism in Eukaryota, Metazoa, Chordata, Mammalia, Carnivora, Felidae. The transcript has 3 exons. The record is from RefSeq and is a predicted model, not a curated record.
CCUCCUGCCCCAGCUGUCUGAGGGUGGGGCUCUCCCCUGCUCUGGGAGGGGCUGUGGAAGAGAAGGAGGCGGAAGCGGAGACCUCUCCAGUCGGUCCCGGAGCCAGUAGGGAAGCGGCUGUUGUGGCAAAGCCCAGCGGAAGAAAGGCCAGAGCUGACCUGCCCUGCAACCUCCAGCCCCGGAAACUGUGGGCUCACGGACCCUGGCUCAGCGUGCUGCCGUCCCUUGAAGACACCGGGCUUAUAUUCCAGAGACGAGGAGCCACCGAGGGACAGCAGCCAGGCCCUGAGAUGAACAUCGCAGGAAGACAGGGCCAGGUUUACCUUACGGAGUUUGGGACCGGGCUCCGGGCGUCCGUGUGUGGCAAACACCUGGAGCAUGUGCUGGAAGCCCGGGGUGCCUGCCCGCCGUUCUCAGGUCCUGCCGGAGGACCGGACAGAGGGCGGCUACGUGGUUUCCAGCGGACAUUCGCCGUCGGUGUUACUGCUAACACCUGCCUCUCCCCGCCAGCGCCACCGCGUCUCCCACCGAGGGGCAGAGGGACGUUUCCUGGCUCCGCUUCCCCCAAGCAUCAGGUGGCCGGAGAUUCCCUAUUUACAUGGUGCUCCUGACCGGCAGGUGUGCUCUGGGAUUGGUGCCCACAGGUGGCCUUGCAGGUGCCUGGUGUCCCCUCCGCCUGCCCCCACCGCCCCCCUGGGCUCCCCCAAGGGCUCGCUGCCCUCUGCCCGCCCUCUGCCCGCCCCACACGCGCACCUGAUGGGCUCUUGGUCUUCCUUGUCUUCCUUGCUCUGUGCCACCCUGAUGCCACUUUUCUUUGCUCUUGGGCAACCUGAAAGACUAAAGAAGGGACACAGCCUCAGGACGCGUCCGCCCUGGCGUGGGCAGGUCCCUCCCCGCUGUCGCUGCUCAGAUUCUGUUUCUCCAGAAGCUGGAGCUGCUCCCCGUGAGCACAAAAUUAUUCCGGGAGGAGGGACCUUCCGGGAACGGCCCCGCGUGUGCUCUCCAAGUCUUUAGACCCCGUCAGUCCCCUGGCGAGGGGGAGCACUGGGUGGCCGGGAACACCAGAGAGAGGCCGGGUGGCGGGCCCAGAAAAGGGGUAACGCUGAGGAGAAAACACACGCUCCCUCCGUCUCUUCCUCGGCGACCUGUUGUCUGCAGCCCGCUGCCCGGGCCCUGCCAUGUGGGGACAAUGACACCCGGUGGUCUGAUUCUUCUCAAGUACAGACUUACUUUGAGUCUGCAGAAGGUGCAGAGGAAGUUGAACAUGAUUAUUUUAUUCAGUCGUCAAAGUUUUGGAAACAGAAGCUCACGCUUAUCUAAAGGAAGACUUCCGGCUGGAACAGAAAACUACUCAUACAUGUCUGAUCAUGCACAUGGGCCAACGUGUAUGAACUGCACAUGUGCUAACUUGCAUGAGCGUGUACACGGGCUAACGAUAGGCUGUGAUAUGAGAUUGUGCACGAGAACGUACAGGAUAAAUGCGACUCUUGUGCAACGACUGAAAAACCAGAAAGUAGGCCAUUUACAGAGACGCGGGGACACACGGGUGCAGACUCGUCCGGUGCCGACGCGCGGCCGUGGCCCAGGUGGGUACCCGUCACUCCUCCUCCGUUCCUGAGCUUGUGCCCUGCUUCCCGGUCAGUCCUGGCUGACCACGCUGAGUCUCAGGGUCCCCUCACCCAUCGCUGCGCUCUGCCCCCCCAGCAUCUUCCCUCCUUUCCUCUCGGGUAAGAAGCAGCACCCCACAGGCAGAGGGCGGGUUGGGGUUGGGGCUUCGGGCCCCGGCGCUGCCCCCUCCUGUCUCCGUUGACAGGUGUCCCAACCCCUCUGGAACGUGGCCCGUCUGCUAUGUCACCGUCUCCUUUAAUAGGAAUGUGGGAAAGACGAGAUGUGCCCGGAUCCUCUCCCUCCUGCUGCCUCUGGUCCUCCGUUUCAAGGUAAAAACUUGGAAAGUGGGUGUGCCGCUCCGUGGCUGUCCCCACUGCCGUCCAGCUCUGAUCUCUUGCCAGGAAGAGCGCUCUUUCCGGUCACCAUGAUCCGGAGCCGGAGGGCGCCCCUGGCCUCUUGCAGGUGAAGCUCCUCCGAGCCUGUCGGCAGCCUUGGCGUCUGCAGGGCCUGUGUCCCGGGAGGUCGGUGUUGUGUGCUGCCCUCGCUUGAGGCCUGAGCUCACACGUCCCUCGUGCUCCUGAGCCCCCGCCAGGUCCUCUCCCCACGCGUCCUUCCCUUCCGGCAGAGCUCGCCUGAGUCCCCUGUGCAAUCCACGACAAAACUCAAGCCGUGCGUCCUAUGACUCCUGGUCACGUCUCUUUGGGCGACGCCCUUCAUUCCCGCUAAAGGUUAAAGUCCUCGCCCUCAGUUCCCUCCACGUCUCGUGUGCUCCUCUCCGUGGAUGGGAUUGGCGUCUGCUCCCUGGCCCGAGGCGGAACUGAGCUCAUCCUUGGCCUUACUUGCCCGGGGUCCUGCUGGUUUUACGUCCCCCGUAUCUUCGGAACCAUCCCCCUUCUGCCUCCACGACGCCGUGUCGGGACGGGCUAGCGUAAGCUCCGAGCUGUCUUAAGCCGCUCCAUUUAGGACCUUCUGGUGGCCCACCACCAAAUGCCUCGCCGUGGGCACUGUGGGCUGGCCCCGCCCCCAGUGACUGCCGGCUCUCCCGCCUGGCACACGCCUGUGCCCUCGCACGCUCUUCCGGCGGCCACUGUCCCCGCCGUCUGCUGGCGGGCACAUCCCUCAAGGUGUGUUCCUGGGUGUGGGUGCCCUUCUGACAACCGGCCCUGGGAGCCCGCGGGGCCCCGUCCCCUGCGGGUGUCACUCGCGCUGUGCUGGAAGCUGUCUGCCCACCCACCACAGGCUGCAGAGCCUCGAGUUCCAGGGGCGCGAGAGCCAUGUGCUCGGUCACCCGCGUCCAGUCCCACACCAUGUGUCCAGCCGGGGGCCUGCGUGCGCCCGCGGCCCUUCCUGGCUUGGAUCUGGGGCCCUGCGGCCCGCGUUGCUUCCGCCCGCCGGCGGCCAUCCCCUCCUGGAUGUUCCCGUUACUUCUGAACGCCGCUUUCGGGUCCUCCUUGCGCGGUUUCCUCACGUGCAGUCAGGACACAAAUACUAGUCCCAUAGGACAGCGAGACCACACAGGCAACGUGUACAGCCAUGCUCGUGGUACAUAGUAUGUGCUCGACACAUGCUACCUUUGCCAUCAGAGAACAUUCUGGAACCCUAAGCGAGCAGCUGCUCUCUGAGCCUGGGAGGCUGUCCUUGGGAGCCAGAGUCACGUGGUGGCUUGUGACAGCUCGAGGCUUUGGCGCUCUUGCUGCAUGUGAGCCAUGGCAGGUCACAGGGAUCAGGAGCUC